This 400-nucleotide ribosomal RNA is filed under the name uncultured soil bacterium. RNAcentral describes it as "bacterial SSU rRNA". It matches the Rfam family "Bacterial small subunit ribosomal RNA", at positions 975 to 1375 of the family's 1533-position model. The record is from RNAcentral.
CUGGGCUAGACAACGGUGGACCGUCCUAGAGAUAGGAUUUUCCCUUCGGGGACUGCCGGUUCAGGUGCUGCAUGGCUGUCGUCAGCUCGUGCCGUGAGGUGUUGGGUUAAGUCCCGCAACGAGCGCAACCCUCGUCCUUAGUUGCCACCAUUCAGUUGGGCACUCUAGGGAGACUGCCGGCGUUAAGCCGGAGGAAGGUGGGGACGACGUCAAGUCAUCAUGGCCCUUAUGUCCAGGGCCACACACGUGCUACAAUGGGCGGUACAAAGGGUUGCAAACCCGCGAGGGGGAGCUAAUCCCAAAAAGCCGCUCUCAGUUCGGAUUGGAGUCUGCAACUCGACUCCAUGAAGUUGGAAUCGCUAGUAAUCGCGGAUCAGCACGCCGCGGUGAAUACGUUCCC